CAGAGAAUAGUUUAUUAAAAUAUUAAUUUUGGAGAUUAAAGAUAGAAUUUUUCUUUCUCUGA
This 62-nucleotide transfer RNA is filed under the name Omadius sp. Its description in RNAcentral is "tRNA-Pro". The record is from RNAcentral. Lineage: Eukaryota; Metazoa; Arthropoda; Insecta; Coleoptera; Cleridae.